Molecule: long non-coding RNA, 835 nt
Organism: Rhinichthys klamathensis goyatoka
Lineage: Eukaryota; Metazoa; Chordata; Actinopteri; Cypriniformes; Leuciscidae
Exons: 3
Source: RefSeq, a predicted model, not a curated record
CAUCACAAUUCUGUUAGCAGACCUAGAAUAAGUCAUGCAGAUUUGAGGAUUGUUGUUGUUUUCUUGAUAAAUUACAGAGAAUUUACUAGGUGCCGCUAGCUGAGCGAUUCACCCACGCGAUGUAAUUAAUGCCAGAAUCUGAAGCAAACAAGACCAGAGCCACAACAAGUGUGAAGCACGACAGAAGCCAUGACGCAUCACCACAUGGUCAGUAAAGCUUCAUGUAAAUACAGAGCCGAUCAGCAUCACGCCUGUAACACAGCUGGACACAGUGAUGCUGGGCUCUCUUCUCGUCUUGGAUUUGUCAUCAUUUUAUUUUCAGUUUUCUUGAAAUGUUUGUUUGUUUUUACUAAAAAUCUAUUUUUUGUCUUCCUAAACCUUUUUUAGGGUCUGUCUGCCCAGCUAAAGCCGCAGCCACGGUAGACUUAGAGCAUGCGAAAUGCCAACGGACACUGCAACGAUUGCACAAUGACGUCACAUCAUGCGGCGUCUGUGGCAUAUCAAUCUUCAAUUGCUCACACAUCUUUACGUGAUACGAAUUCGCAGAUUCUCUCUCAAAUCAAGAGUUUUCGUCAUGAUGGAAUGGACCACCACACAUUUCUGAGGAAGCUUCUUGACCAGGAGGAGGCUGAAGGUCCAGAGCUUGUUCACCUAUCCCAAUGAUCUGCAGGUUUAUCACAUGUUGUGGUAGACAGGUGACAUUUUCAAAGAUUGAAGGCAAUCUUUUCCCACAACCCUUGUCUGUAAUGACGUUCUUUACUGAACCCACAAGAAUCGGUGACUUUUUCCAUAUGACAAAUUCACCAGAAUAAGAGACCCUCCUCGAGAAAAUGUG